AUUCACCACAGAAGAAAAACAUUUGGCACUUAAAUCUACAUACAGACAGACACUCAUCUCCUCCCACCUCUUGCCAUCCAAGCUCAGGUCAAAAUGAAAUGAGACACAAAGACAGUGAGUUGUGAAAGGGAAGCAAAAUGUGGGAGGAGCUAUGAGCCUGCUGAACAGAAGCUUUAUUCUUGGAAUUUUCCAAAGAGAUCAAUAUCAGCACCUGUCAAAG
Molecule: long non-coding RNA, 220 nt
Filed under: Numida meleagris (helmeted guineafowl)
Lineage: Eukaryota; Metazoa; Chordata; Aves; Galliformes; Numididae
Description: lncRNA (ENSNMEG00000014359.1)
Source: RNAcentral